RNAcentral lists this ribosomal RNA (274 nucleotides) under uncultured bacterium. RNAcentral's name for it is "partial 16S ribosomal RNA". It matches the Rfam family "Bacterial small subunit ribosomal RNA", at positions 523 to 796 of the family's 1533-position model. The record is from RNAcentral.
AUACAGGGGGUGCGAGCGUUAAUCGGAAUUACUGGGCGUAAAGAGUACGUAGGCGGUUGCUUAAGUCAGAUGUGAAAGCCCCGGGCUCAACAUGGGAACUGCAUUUGAAACUGAGUGACUAGAGUUUAAGAGAGGGGAGUAGAAUUCCGGGUGUAGCGGUGAAAUGCGUAGAGAUCCGGAGGGAUACCAGUGGAGAAGGCGGCUCCCUGGCUUAAAACUGACGCUGAGGUACGAAAGCGUGGGUAGCAAACAGGAUUAGAAACCCCAGUAGUCC